UUGAUCCUGGCUCAGAAUCAACGCUGGCGGCGCGCCUAACACAUGCAAGUCGAACGAGAAAGCAGGAGCAAUCUUGUGAGUAAAGUGGCGUACGGGUGAUUAACACGUGGAUUAUCUACCUUCUAGUGGGGGAUAACCCUGGGAAACCGUGGCUAAUACCGCAUAAGCUCGAGAGAGGAAAGCAGCAAUGCGCUGGAAGUGGAGUCCGCGGCCGAUUAUGCUAGUUGGUAGGGUAAAAGCCUACCAAGGUUAAGAUCGGUAGCCGGCCUGAGAGGGCACACGGCCACACUGGCACUGAAUCACGGGCCAGACUCCUACGGGAGGCAGCAGUGGGGAAUCUUGCACAAUGUGGGCAACCCUGAUGCAGCGACGCCGCGUGAGCGAUGAAGCCCUUCGGGGUGUAAAGCUCUUUCGGCAGGGAAGAUUAUGACGGUACCUGCAGAAGCAGCUGCGGCUAACUACGUGCCAGCAGCCGCGGUAAUU
This 483-nucleotide ribosomal RNA is filed under the name uncultured Acidobacteriota bacterium. RNAcentral's name for it is "bacterial SSU rRNA". It matches the Rfam family "Bacterial small subunit ribosomal RNA", at positions 13 to 525 of the family's 1533-position model. Lineage: Bacteria; Pseudomonadati; Acidobacteriota. The record is from RNAcentral.